Molecule: non-coding RNA, 88 nt
Organism: Naematelia encephala
Lineage: Eukaryota; Fungi; Basidiomycota; Tremellomycetes; Tremellales; Naemateliaceae
Source: the annotation of a GenBank genome assembly
UCUCUCUUGGCUCAGUUGGCUAGAGUGUUCGCUUCACAAUUACGUAAUUUGACGCGAAAGGUCCUGGGUUCGACCCCCAGAGAGGGAA